RNAcentral lists this microRNA precursor (205 nucleotides) under Oryza glumipatula. Its description in RNAcentral is "MIR812 microRNA precursor family". It matches the Rfam family "MIR812 microRNA precursor family". Lineage: Eukaryota; Viridiplantae; Streptophyta; Magnoliopsida; Poales; Poaceae. The record is from Rfam by way of RNAcentral.
AAAAAGGCAAACCCUGGGUUUCCGUGUCCAACUUUAACUGUCUGUCUUAUAUGAAAUUUUUUUAUAAUUCGUAUUUUCAUUGUUGUUAGAUGAUAAAACAUGAUUAAUAUUUUAUGUGUGACUUGUCUUUUUAAUUUUUUUCAUAAUUUUUUCAAAUAAGACGGACGGUUAAAUGUUGGGCAUGGAAACCACGGUUUGCCUUUUU